This 893-nucleotide ribosomal RNA is filed under the name uncultured Caminicella sp. RNAcentral describes it as "bacterial SSU rRNA". It matches the Rfam family "Bacterial small subunit ribosomal RNA", at positions 45 to 941 of the family's 1533-position model. Lineage: Bacteria; Bacillati; Bacillota; Clostridia; Peptostreptococcales; Caminicellaceae. The record is from RNAcentral.
UGCCUANCACAUGCAAGUCGAGCGGACCAAUGCCCAUUUCAGCUUUGCUGAUUUGAGCAACGGUUAGCGGCGGACGGGUGAGUAACGCGUGGGCAACCUGCCCUGUGCAGGGGGAUAACACAGCGAAAGCUGUGCUAAUACCCCAUAAGACUACGCUAUCGCAUGAUAGAGUAGUCAAAGCUUUAGCGGCACAGGAUGGGCCCGCGUCUGAUUAGCUAGUUGGUGGGGUAACGGCCUACCAAGGCGACGAUCAGUAGCCGACCUGAGAGGGUGAUCGGCCACACUGGAACUGAGACACGGUCCAGACUCCUACGGGAGGCAGCAGUGGGGAAUAUUGCACAAUGGGGGAAACCCUGAUGCAGCAACGCCGCGUGAGCGAAGAAGGCCUUCGGGUCGUAAAGCUCUGUCCUAAGGGAAGAAGCAUGACGGUACCUUAGGAGGAAGCCCCGGCUAACUACGUGCCAGCAGCCGCGGUAAUACGUAGGGGGCGAGCGUUAUCCGGAAUCACUGGGCGUAAAGGGUGCGUAGGCGGCCGAGUAAGCCAGAGGUGAAAGGCUACGGCUUAACCGUAGUAAGCCUUUGGAACUACUUGGCUUGAGUGCAGGAGAGGAGAGUGGAAUUCCUAGUGUAGCGGUGAAAUGCGUAGAUAUUAGGAGGAACACCCAGUGGCGAAGGCGACUCUCUGGACUGUAACUGACGCUGAGGCACGAAAGCGUGGGGAGCAAACAGGAUUANAUACCCUGGUAGUCCACGCCGUAAACGAUGAGUGCUAGGUGUCGGGGGUUCACACCCUCGGUGNCGGGAGUUAACGCAAUAAGCACUCCGCCUGGGGAGUACGGUCGCAAGACUGAACUCNAAGGAAUUGACGGGGACCCCACAAGCAGCGGAGCAUG